Myotis brandtii (Brandt's bat) is the source of this 258-nucleotide long non-coding RNA. RefSeq lists it as uncharacterized. The transcript has 3 exons. The record is from RefSeq and is a predicted model, not a curated record. Lineage: Eukaryota; Metazoa; Chordata; Mammalia; Chiroptera; Vespertilionidae.
GAACGCUGGCUUAAAUGCUUUAAAAGUGAUGAUUUCGAUGUGAAAGACAAAGAACGUCCAGGUCAACCGGAAAAAUUUGAAGACUAACAAUUACAAGUAUUAUAGGAUGAAGAUGCAUGUCAAACUCAAAAACAACUUGCAGAAAGAUUAAACGUUGCUCAGCAAACAAUUUCCGAUCGUUUACAAGCAAUGGGAAAGAUUUUAAGGGAAAGAAGUGGGUGCCACAUCAGCUGAACGAAAGACAAAUGAAAACCUAAA